Molecule: non-coding RNA, 44 nt
Filed under: Trichobilharzia regenti
Lineage: Eukaryota; Metazoa; Platyhelminthes; Trematoda; Strigeidida; Schistosomatidae
Source: RNAcentral
AUCCAAUGACGAGUCCAAACUAGGACGAAAUGCGCGUCCUGGAU